This 465-nucleotide ribosomal RNA is filed under the name Vreelandella stevensii. RNAcentral describes it as "partial 16S ribosomal RNA". It matches the Rfam family "Bacterial small subunit ribosomal RNA", at positions 338 to 795 of the family's 1533-position model. Lineage: Bacteria; Pseudomonadati; Pseudomonadota; Gammaproteobacteria; Oceanospirillales; Halomonadaceae. The record is from RNAcentral.
ACUACGGGAGGCAGCAGUGGGGAAUAUUGGACAAUGGGCGAAGGCCUGAUCCAGCCAUGCCGCGUGUGUGAAGAAGGCCUUCGGGUUGUAAAGCACUUUCAGUGGGGAAGAAAGCCUUGGGGCUAAUACCCUCGAGGAAGGACAUCACCCACAGAAGAAGCACCGGCUAACUCCGUGCCAGCAACCGCGGUAAUACGGAGGGUGCGAGCGUUAAUCGGAAUUACUGGGCGUAAAGCGCGCGUAGGCGGUCUGAUAAGCCGGUUGUGAAAGCCCCGGGCUCAACCUGGGAACGGCAUCCGGAACUGUCAGGCUAGAGUGCAGGAGAGGAAGGUAGAAUUCCCGGUGUAGCGGUGAAAUGCGUAGAGAUCGGGAGGAAUACCAGUGGCGAAGGCGGCCUUCUGGACUGACACUGACGCUGAGGUGCGAAAGCGUGGGUAGCAAACAGGAUUAGAUACCCCGGUAGUC